Methanosarcina mazei is the source of this 100-nucleotide non-coding RNA. Lineage: Archaea; Methanobacteriati; Methanobacteriota; Methanomicrobia; Methanosarcinales; Methanosarcinaceae. The record is from Rfam.
UAGGUAAUAGAACAUUCUUUGACCUGCUGCAAAGAAUGCGGAUCUACCCUUGAGAAUGUUGAAGUUGAAGCUUAUGAGAGAAGACAGGUCUUUGACAUUC